RNAcentral lists this ribosomal RNA (734 nucleotides) under uncultured eukaryote. RNAcentral's name for it is "SSU rRNA". It matches the Rfam family "Eukaryotic small subunit ribosomal RNA", at positions 557 to 1295 of the family's 1831-position model. The record is from RNAcentral.
UAGUCUGGUGCCAGCAGCCGCGGUAAUUCCAGCUCCAAUAGCGUAUAUUAAAGUUGUUGCAGUUAGAACGCUCGUAGUCGGAUUUCGGGGCGGGCCGACCGGUCUGCCGAUGGGUUAGUACUGGCCGGCGCGUCCUUCCUUCCGGAGACCGUGCCUACUCUUAACUGAGCGGGGGCGGGAGACGGGACUUUUACUUUGAAAAAAUCAGAGUGUUUCAAGCAGGCAGCUCGCCCUUGCAUGGAUUAGCAUGGGAUAAUGAAAUAGGACUUUGGUGCUAUUUUGUUGGUUUCGAACACCGAAGUAAUGAUGAGAAGGGACAGUCAGGGGCACUCGUAUUUUGCCGAGAGAGGUGAAAUUCUCAGACCAGCGAAAGACGAACCACUGCGAAAGCAUUUGCCAGGGAUGUUUUCACUGAUCAAGAACGAAAGUUAGGGGAUCGAAGACGAUCAGAUACCGUCGUAGUCUUAACCAUAAACCAUGCCGACUAGGGAUUCGACGAUGUUCACUUAUUGACUUGUUGAGCACCUUACGGGAAACUAAAGUCUUUGGGUUCCGGGGGGAGUAUGGUCGCAAGGCUGAAACUUAAAGGAAUUGACGGAAGGGCACCACCAGGUGUGGAGCCUGCGGCUUAAUUUGACUCAACACGGGGAAACUUACCAGGUCCAGACAUUGUGAGGAUUGACAGAUUGAGAGCUCUUUCUUGAUUCGAUGGGUGGUGGUGCAUGGCCGUUCUU